GGCGGCAUGGUGUAAUGGUUAACAUAUCAGGCGGUCUACUGAAGAUGCUGGUUCGCUCCCAGCCGCCA
Non-coding RNA from Meloidogyne enterolobii, 68 nucleotides. The record is from the annotation of a GenBank genome assembly. NCBI's taxonomy places the organism in Eukaryota, Metazoa, Nematoda, Chromadorea, Rhabditida, Meloidogynidae.